UAGGGAUGUGCUUUGGAGAGAAUGAAGUGAAUUCAGUAUGAUGGAGCACAGACUAUAUGGUCAAAUCAGCCUAGAUUUAAACCGGGCUCCUAUUCCCUAUCAUCUGCAUUAUCUUGGGUUUGUGAGUCAACUUUAUGGGUCUAUUGGGAGCAGCAGUUCUUCCUGGCCCCUGGAUGUACUGAUUCCGGUGCAGUCCUCUGACCAUAUUGGGAAGGAUAUGUAAAAUGAUACGAGUUUCAGGGAAUAAGAAUGGGGGUGAGAGGAAUCACUGAGGAUGCCCAAGGACAAAGCAGCCGGAACAAGGUCACAAGGUUGACAAGCAAAAAGAGUUCUGAAGACCCUGACCUUUCAGGAAGUGUAUCAUAUGUGA
This 370-nucleotide long non-coding RNA is filed under the name Homo sapiens (human). RNAcentral describes it as "HSALNT0142821". Lineage: Eukaryota; Metazoa; Chordata; Mammalia; Primates; Hominidae. The record is from RNAcentral.